RNAcentral lists this ribosomal RNA (250 nucleotides) under uncultured bacterium. RNAcentral describes it as "partial 16S ribosomal RNA". It matches the Rfam family "Bacterial small subunit ribosomal RNA", at positions 355 to 621 of the family's 1533-position model. The record is from RNAcentral.
UGAGGAAUAUUGCACAAUGGGGGAAACCCUGAUGCAGCGACGCCGCGUGAAGGAUGAAGGCUUUCGAGUUGUAAACUUCUUUUCUGGGGGAAGAGGAAGGACGGUACCCUAGGAAUAAGACACGGCUAACUACGUGCCAGCAGCCGCGGUAAUACGUAGGUGUCGAGCGUUAUCCGGAAUUACUGGGCGUAAAGGGCACGCAGGCGGCUGUUCAAGUUCGACGUGAAACCUCCUGGCUUAACCGGGAGAA